GAAAUGCGAUACGUAAUGUGAAUUGCAGAAUUCAGUGAAUCAUCGAAUCUUUGAACGCACCUUGCGCUCCUUGGUAUUCCUUGGAGCAUGCCUGUUUGAGUAUCAUGAAAUCUUCAAAGUAAAUCUUUUGUUAACUCAAUUGGUUUCUACUUUGGUAUUGGAGGUCUUUGCAGCUUCACACCUGCUCCUCUUUGUUCAUUAGCUGGAUCUCAGUGUUAUGCUUGGUUCCACUCGGCGUGAUAAGUUAUCUAUCGCUGAGGACACUGUAAAAGGUGGCCAAGGUGAAUGCAGAUGAACCGCUUCUAAUAGUCCAUUGACUUGGACAAUACUUUUAUGAUCUGAUCUCAAAUCAGGUAGGACUACCCGCUGAACUUAAGC
Molecule: unclassified non-coding RNA, 378 nt
Filed under: plant metagenome
Description: partial contains 5.8S ribosomal RNA, internal transcribed spacer 2, and large subunit ribosomal RNA
Rfam family: 5.8S ribosomal RNA (bases 1-105)
Source: RNAcentral